GACGAACGCUGGCGGCGUGCUUAACACAUGCAAGUCGAACGGCAAGGCCCUGCUUUUGUGGGGUGCUCGAGUGGCGAACGUGUGAGUAACACGUUAGUAACCUGCCCUUGACUUUGGGAUAACUUCAGGAAACUGGGGCUAAUACCGGAUAGGAGCUCCUGCUGCAUGGUGGGGGUUGGAAAGUUUCGGCGGUUGGGGAUGGACUCGCGGCUUAUCAGCUUGUUGGUGGGGUAGUGGCUUACCAAGGCUUUGACGGGUAGCCGGCCUGAGAGGGUGACCGGCCACAUUGGGACUGAGAUACGGCCCAGACUACUACGGGAGGCAGCAGUGGGGAAUAUUGCACAAUGGGCGGAAGCCUGAUGCAGCAACGCCGCGUGCGGGAUGACGGCCUUCGGGUUGUAAACCGCUUUCGCCUGUGACGAAGCGUGAGUGACGGUAAUGGGUAAAGAAGCACCGGCUAACUACGUG
This 468-nucleotide ribosomal RNA is filed under the name uncultured bacterium. RNAcentral describes it as "partial 16S ribosomal RNA". It matches the Rfam family "Bacterial small subunit ribosomal RNA", at positions 28 to 507 of the family's 1533-position model. The record is from RNAcentral.